UAAUCGCUUCACUUGCAACAUCCCUGAAACAAUCGGCAAAUCGACUGUCUCCGUUGUGACAUUCGCCAACAACAAGUUCAAAGGAUGUAUUCCACGUAGCAUUGGAAAGAUGUCGAACUUGGACGAGAUCAUUUUCUCAAACAAUAACCUCGGUGGUUGUUUCCCUCAAGAAAUUGGAUUGCUUCGCAAUGUUACUAUUUUCGAUGUUAGCAAGAACUCGUUCGUGGGUAGCUUGCCCGCAAACUUUUCGGGCUUCGAGAAGGUUGACGUUUUGGAUAUUUCCGGGAACAAGUUGACGGGGAGUGUGCCGGAGGAUAUUUGCAAGUUGCCGAGCUUGUCUAGUUUCAAGUUUUCUUACAACUAUUUCAGUGAGGAGCAUAUGGCUUGUAUAAAGCCUGAAAGGAAGAACAUUGUGGUGGAAGAUACUGGUAAUUGUGUGGCUGGCCGGAUGAAGCAAAAGACAGAUAAAGAGUGCAAACAGAUGGUGAGUAACCCGGUUGAUUGUAGCAAGGACAAAUGUACUGGAGGGUCUCCACCUUCUAAGCCUAAAUCACCACCACUACCACCGGUCCACUCCCCACCCCCACCAGUGCACUCCCCACCCCCACCCGUCCACUCACCACCCCCACCCGUCUUCUCACCACCACCACCAGUGCACUCACCACCCCCACCCGUCUACUCACCACCCCCACCACCCGUCUACUCACCACCCCCACCACCAGUGCACUCACCACCCCCACCCGUCUACUCACCACCACCACCAGUGCACUCACCACCCCCACCCGUCUACUCACCACCCCCACCCGUCUACUCCCCACCACCACCCGUCUACUCACCACCACCACCACCAGUCCAGUCCCCACCCCCACCCGUCCACUCACCACCACCACCAGUCCAGUCCCCACCCCCACCAGUACAAUCUCCACCUCCACGAACUCCAUCUCCUCGUCCUGUUGUGUCUACACCGCCACCUACAAAAGAUAUUGUCCUCCCACCAAACAUAGGAUUCGAAUACCAAUCGCCACCUCCACCAAUGUUUCCAAGCUACUAAACAGUACUACAGCCUUAACAUCUUUGUAUUGUAUAUUCUCGCUCUCGGGCAUAAAAAGGAAAAAAAAAAAGAGCUAUAAAUUACAAUUAUGUCGUUACCUUUUCUUGCGUUUGCAAUUACUAUUCAAAUUGUAACAUCAUUGCGAAAGCUCUUAUAUUUAUAUAUGAAUCUUAAUUACUAGUAACUUUCAUCUUUUCCCUCUUCCUCUUUUGUUAAUAUUGGAAAAAUAAAUAUUUGUGAUAUAUAAUUUAUAUGUCACUUCAGCAUGUUGUGUUGGUUUCGGGUUGCAUCAAUUUCAAUCGGAUCAAUUUGAUUUUUGAUCAUUUAUGUUUAUUUUAGCUGGGUGUUUUAGGUUUUUCAUUCAAGAGUAACACUUAAUUUCGAGUUUUUUAUUCAUGUUUUUUUAAGUUUGAUUUUUUUGAUAUUUAUGUUGGAAUUGUGUAGGUUUGAUUAUUUACUUUUUGAAAAAAGUUUUGGUUUUCUCCUUAUUCUAAUUUGAUAUCGCAACUGAUGUUCCAACAUAAAUUAGAACAAGAUAGAUUAAUAAAAGUUUUCAAAGAGAAAUGAUGCACAAGACUUGUUAACAUAGUUCAUAUAACAUUCUUACUUUGUAAAGCCUCGUUAAGGGUGUACAAAAUUCGAUGGAAAAAGCCACCCAAAUCAACUCAAUUCGAUUUUUUUGUUCGAUUUAAUUGAAUUCAAAUAUCUAAAUAUAAUAUUUUAUAUUUUUAAUUCAAACCCUUAAACUUUUUUACUUUUCCUAAAAAUUUUUACUCCCUCCAACUUUCCCCCAAAACUUUUACUUCUCUCCUAUCCCACCCCCAAACCCAUUCCUCCACCCCCCCAAAUAUUUUUUUGAAUAUUCCCCCCUCAAAAUUUUACUCUCCAAACUCUAAAACUUUUUAUUUUCCCCUAAAACUGUUACUUUUCAUCAUAUACCCUCAAAUCAAAAAUCAAAAUCAUCCAAUUUCACAUAUUUUCCAUGAAAUUGUCUAAUAUUCAAGAAAUCUUCAUUAUGAUCUCCAUGAGUUGCAAUUACAUGUUUCACGUCAACAAAAGCAAAUCCAAAUAUAACACUAAAGGCAUUCAAAUUAUAUAUAAUCAUGUGAUAUUAUAAUAGAACAGUCAACAAUAUUAAUUAUUUGGUCUAACUAAUAAUAUUAUAAAAUUCUAAAGAUCUAAUUAUAUUAAAAAUUAAAUAUAGCGACUAAAUCUGAAGCUUAAGGAAAAAACCAUAUACCCAAAUUUCCUUGCUUUUAUAUAAUAAAGGUAUUCAUCUUAACUAGUGCCAUCAAUGUUGGUGUAAUUAAUCUUCCAAAAAUGGUAUAAUUAAUCACAUAUUACUAGAAUUUAACAAUUAUGAUGAAGAUGAAAUGAAUGAAACAUUUAUUAUGACAGAUUUUGGGUUGAACACGUGGCUGAGGGAAUCCAAAACAUCGCUGGAAAUGGUAAGUUUCCAUUUAAUAAAAUUGUUUUCCAGUUUUUUAUAUUAAAAGCUCAAAUUCGGUUUUUGUCCCUCUACUAUAUUAGAAUUAAAAAUUCAGUCUGUUUUAUUUUAAUUUAGCAUAAUUUAGCCCUCUUACUUCAUUAUUAAUUAAUCUAAAAUGUCAACACCAUUAACUAUUUUAAUCAAAAUACUUAUAUGAAUUUUUUUAAAAAAAUCAGUGUUAAGCAUUUAGUUAAUACUUAAUUUUUUAUUAAAUUUUUUUGAUUAAUUUUUUUUAGAAAAAGCACAAUUAAAAAAAGAAUAAUUAACAAUGCUAAAAAAAUUGAUAUAAAAAUAGAAUGACCAAAUCAUAGUGAAUUGGAGUAUAAAAACUAAAUCAUGAAUUUUAGAUAUAGUAGAAGGACCAACAUAUAAUUUGACCUAUUAUAGAAUAAAGAUAGAAAAUUCAAGUUAAAAUUGGUUAAAUAGUAUCUAUACAUAAGCCUUACAUUUCGCUUCGCCUCUAAAGUUACAGAACCUCUAAUUAUAUGUGAAACCAGCAAACUUCUCGAGAACUAAAGCAAGAACCCAACAUCCCAUUCGUCCCCGAUAUAAGCUUCUUUCCAUCUCCAUCAACAUUGCCUAACCAGCCUCGGGCCUUCCAAGGUGAACAAACAAAAUGGCAAGUCGUCAAAGUUUUCAGGCCUUCGGCUGCUUUCAUUUGUUCUUUUGGAUUUUCUUUCGUUCAUUCACACCCACUUUCACAGCCGAAGCGUCUUCAAUCGCUGAUCGUCAGCUGUUGUCACUCCCCAAAAAUGGUAAACUCCCCGACGGGUAUGAAUAUACGGUGAAAACGACAGAGAAAUUCGAGAAUGAAAGGCUUAGGAGGGCUUUCAUUGCUCUUCAAGCAUGGAAGAAGGCUAUGUACUCUGACCCCAAGAACAUCACGAGCAACUGGUUCGGGCCCAACGUGUGUGAUUACAAAGGUGUUUAUUGUGUCCAAGCAAUGGAUGACCCCAAAUUAAAAGUUGUGGCUGGUAUUGAUCUUAACCAUGCUGACAUCGCCGGUUACCUUCCGGUGGAGUUGGGGUUGCUGACGGAUGUUGCAUUGAUCCAUUUAAACUCCAACAGGUUUUGUGGGAUCGUCCCUGAGAGCUUAUCUGAGCUUACACUUAUGCAUGAAUUUGAUGUUAGCAACAAUUGGUUCGUGGGGGAUUUCCCCAAAGUUGUACUGUCAUGGCCGAGCGUCAAGUAUAUUGAUCUCCGAUUCAAUAAUUUUGAAGGUUGUUUACCACCUGAGCUCUUCGAAAAGGAUCUAGAUGCAUUGUUUUUGAACGAUAAUCGCUUCACUUGCAACAUCCCUGAAACAAUUGGCAAAUCGACCGUCUCCGUUGUGACAUUCGCCAAUAACAAGUUCGAAGGAUGUAUACCACGUAGCAUUGGCAAGAUGUCGAACUUGGACGAGAUCAUUUUCUCAAACAAUAACCUCGGUGGUUGUUUCCCUCAAGAAAUUGGAUUGCUUCGCAAUGUUACUAUUUUCGAUGUUAGCAAGAACUCGUUCAUGGGUAGCUUGCCGGCAAACUUUUCGGGCUUUGAGAAGGUUGACAUUUUGGAUAUUUCCGGGAACAAG
Molecule: long non-coding RNA, 4107 nt
Filed under: Gossypium barbadense (sea-island cotton)
Lineage: Eukaryota; Viridiplantae; Streptophyta; Magnoliopsida; Malvales; Malvaceae
Description: long non-coding RNA (GBAR_LNC022153)
Source: RNAcentral